RNAcentral lists this ribosomal RNA (458 nucleotides) under uncultured bacterium. Its description in RNAcentral is "partial 16S ribosomal RNA". It matches the Rfam family "Bacterial small subunit ribosomal RNA", at positions 338 to 795 of the family's 1533-position model. The record is from RNAcentral.
CCUACGGGGGGUAGCAGUGAGGAAUAUUGGUCAAUGGGCGAGAGCCUGAACCAGCCAAGUCGCGUGAGGGAGUACUGCCCUAUGGGUUGUAAACCUCUUUUGUCGGGGAGCAAAAGCCGGACGUGUCCGGCUGUGAGAGUACCCGAAGAAAAAGCAUCGGCUAACUCCGUGCCAGCAGCCGCGGUAAUACGGAGGAUGCGAGCGUUAUCCGGAUUUAUUGGGUUUAAAGGGUGCGCAGGCGGAUUUUUAAGUCAGCGGUAAAAUCGUGGGGCUCAACCCCAUCCAGCCGUUGAAACUGGGGAUCUAGAGUGUGCGAGAGGUAUGCGGAAUGCGUGGUGUAGCGGUGAAAUGCAUAGAUAUCACGCAGAACCCCGAUUGCGAAGGCAGCAUACCGGUGCACAACUGACGCUCAGGCACGAAAGCGUGGGUAUCGAACAGGAUUAGAUACCCCAGUAGUC